This 292-nucleotide ribosomal RNA is filed under the name Salmonella enterica. RNAcentral describes it as "partial 23S ribosomal RNA". It matches the Rfam family "Bacterial large subunit ribosomal RNA", at positions 1918 to 2209 of the family's 2925-position model. RNAcentral also lists the same sequence under 1 other name. Lineage: Bacteria; Pseudomonadati; Pseudomonadota; Gammaproteobacteria; Enterobacterales; Enterobacteriaceae. The record is from RNAcentral.
CCCCGGUAAACGGCGGCCGUAACUAUAACGGUCCUAAGGUAGCGAAAUUCCUUGUCGGGUAAGUUCCGACCUGCACGAAUGGCGUAAUGAUGGCCAGGCUGUCUCCACCCGAGACUCAGUGAAAUUGAACUCGCUGUGAAGAUGCAGUGUACCCGCGGCAAGACGGAAAGACCCCGUGAACCUUUACUAUAGCUUGACACUGAACAUUGAGCCUUGAUGUGUAGGAUAGGUGGGAGGCUUUGAAGUGUGGACGCCAGUCUGCAUGGAGCCGACCUUGAAAUACCACCCUUUA